This 3030-nucleotide long non-coding RNA is filed under the name Marmota monax (woodchuck). The record is from RNAcentral. Lineage: Eukaryota; Metazoa; Chordata; Mammalia; Rodentia; Sciuridae.
CCCAGGCCCUCCCUAUGACUAUGAUGAAGGGUACUGAAAGGGUGGACAACAAAUGCUCAAACUGGCCAGAGCACUGAAUAACCAAUGCUGGGAGCCUGGAGCUUUGUUCUAUUUCUCUUCCUGGCUGGAUUUGAGCAGGUAUGGAGGCCUAAUUAGAUCACUCUAGAGCUCCUACAACCUCUGGACAAUUAAAUUCUGUUAGCACUUUGCCAGGAUUCUCCUCUACUAAUUGUUCAUUCUCACUUCAUUGUAAUGGCUGUGGAAGUGUUUGAAUGGAUUAUUUCAUCUGAUCCUUACUUCCCUGUAAAAUAGGUGGUAAAGUCCUUGUGAAGAAGCUAUUAGCUGGAGAAAGGCAUACUGCUAGAAAGUAGCAGAUCUAAAACACAUCUCCAAAUCAAUCCUUUGAUAAGAAACCCAGUGCAAGGACUGGGGAUGUGGCUUGGUGGCAAAGUGCUUACCUAGCAUGUGCAAGGCCCUGAAUUUAAUCCCCAGCACCAAACAUAAAUAAGAAACUCAGUGCAUGUUCUACUGGCACAAUAUUUUAAAAAGAAAGAAACUCCCCAAUUUUUCCUAUCACACAGGAAAAAAAAUCUAAGAUUCAUAAUAUACAGUGUUGAUAAAUGGAGAAUUUCCUCUCCAUCACAAUUGGUAGAAACAUAAAUACAACUUUUUUAGAAGGAAAUUUAGCAGAAUCCAUCAGUAUUGACAAACUUUAAAAUUCAUGAUCUAACAAUUCCACAUUAGAAAUGUUUUAUAAAAAUACUAGCAUAAAUGUGUAAAGAAAUUCAGACAAGGUUGUUCAUUGAAACCUAAUUGGCAAUUAGGGGAAAAAAAGAAAAAGAAUGUUUAAAUAAUUCCACAAACAUUACUAUAAAGACUAAAAUGGCAUACCAUAUAGGUUGAGCUACUGUGACCAUUCAGUGACCAAUGACAAUCCAACCUUGAAAGAUGAAGUUUAGUGUCAAUAAAUACUGGCUAAUGGGCUGAGGUUGUGGCUCAGUGGUAGAGUGCUUACCUAGCACAUGGGAGGCCCUGGGUUAGAUCCUCAUCACCACAUAAAAAUGAAGGUAUUGUGUCCAACUACAACUAAAAAAAUCAGUAUUUAAAAAAAAUAAUGGUAGCUGGCAGAAUAACUCAGUAGCAUAUGCCAAAUAAAAUAAAUACUGGUAGUUUACAAAAAGCACGACAUAAAAAACUACAGGACAAUUCCAUUUCAAAGCAGCUGAGCCUACCAUGAAGACGCCAUGAGCAAAGGUCUCCCUCCUGAGCUGAAAACAUUUGUGGACAAGAGGUUAUGGAAAUUAAACAGUGGCAGACAUGUCUAAGGAAUUUUGCAGGGCUUUGAUCCCUUUAUGAAUCUUAUGACAGAUGAAUGUGUGGAAAUGGCAACUAGUGGGCAACCUAAUAAUACCUAAAUAGUCUAAUUUGAGGAAAUAAACAUUAUCAGCAUGUUAGAAGCCUUGGAACAAGUAUAAUGACUUUCAGAAAUGCAUCUCCUCUCUCAAAGGGCCUGUUUAUAUGAUGUAAAAAUCAGGUCACUGGGGAUGAAACCCAAGGCCUUGUACAUGUUAAGCAAGUGCUCUAUCACUGACCUACAUUCCCAGCCCAGGUUGGAUCCUUUUGCUAGGAAGUGCAUUACUGAGACAAGUGGCAAAAUUUGAAUGGGACCUUUGAACGGUGUAUGGGAGUGUUUGGUGCUAUUUUGGAGCUAUUCAUGCAACUUUUCUGUAAAUUUGAUUCUUUUUUUUUUUUCAAGAAGAUAGUGACUUCCAGCCAUUCUCGUUUUAGUGCCUUAAAUUUUUUCAAUUGCAAAAGGAAAAGUUUUGUCUUUAGCAAUUCAAACUGUACCAAUCAUUAAAAAUUUAAAUAUUCUCCAUUCCCACACAUAUUUUAUUUCCCAGAGCUCACUGUUGUUUAUUUAUUUAUAUAUAUAUAGUUUUGGUUUUACAAAAGCAGGAUAUUGUAUGUAUUAUUUGACCUCAUCCUUUUUUUCCAUUGUAUGGAUUAUCAUUUAUCCAUUCUUGUAUUGAUAGCAUUAGGUAGCUUUAAAAUUAUGCUUCAUAAUGAUCAAAGGAUCAACAUAUUAGCAAGAUAAGACUGUUAUAACCUUAUGUAUGUAUGUACCUAAUAAUAGAACCUUCAGAUCUUCUGAAGCAACAAUUGUACACACAGGCUAUGCCUGAAAUUACUUUACUACUGGGCAUAACUUAAUAGUUCUGUUAAAUAUUGCAUCACAUUUCUUGAAUAGAAUUUAUUUUUAGUGCUGCGUAAUACUCCAUUGUGUAUAAAUGCCACAGUUUUUUAAUCCAUUCAUCUAUUGAAGGGCAUCUGGGUUGAUUCCAAAGUCUAGCUAUUGUGAAUUGUGCUGCCAUGAUCAUUGAUGUGGCAGUAUCCCUAUAGUAUGCUCUUUUAAGGUCCUCAGGGAAUAGACCGAGAAGGGCGAUAGCUGGGUCAAAUGGUGGUUCCAUUCCCAGCUUUCCUAGGAAUCUCCAUACUGCUUUCCAUAUUGGCCGCACCAGUUUGCAGUUCCACCAGCAAUGUACAAGUGUACCCUUUUCCCCACAUCCUCGCCAGCACUUAUUGUUGCUUGACUUCAUAAUGGCUGCCAAUCUUACUGGAGUGAGAUGGUAUCUUAGGGUGGUUUUGAUUUGCAUUUCUCUGACUGCUAGAGAUGGUGAGCAUUUUUUCAUGUACUUAUUAUGGAGUAUUACGCAGCACUAAAAAAUGACAAAAUCAUGGAUUUUGCAGGGAAAUGGAUGGCAUUAGAGCAGAUUAUGCUAAGUGAAGCUAGCCAAUCCUUAAAAAACAAAUGCCAAAUGUCUUCUUUGAUAUAAAGAGAGCAACUAAGAUCAGAACAGGGAAGAAGAGCAUGAGGAAAAGAUUAACAUUAAACAGAGACGAGUGGGGGGAGAGAAAGGGAGAGAGAAGGGAAACUAUGGAAAUGGAAGGAGACCCUCAUUGUUACACAAAAUUACAUAUAAGAGUUUGUGAGGGGAAAGGGGAAAAAAAAACAAGGGAGAGAAUUAAACA